Molecule: ribosomal RNA, 460 nt
Filed under: uncultured bacterium
Lineage: Bacteria
Description: partial 16S ribosomal RNA
Rfam family: Bacterial small subunit ribosomal RNA
Source: RNAcentral
CCUACGGGAGGCAGCAGUGAGGAAUAUUGGUCAAUGGGCUUACGCCUGAACCAGCCAAGUCGCGUGAGGGAUUAAGGCCCUACGGGUCGUAAACCUCUUUUGUCGGGGAGCAAAGCUCCGGACGUGUCCGGGCCGGGAGAGUACCCGGAGAAAAAGCAUCGGCUAACUACGUGCCAGCAGCCGCGGUAAUACGGAGGAUGCGAGCGUUAUCCGGAUUUAUUGGGUUUAAAGGGUGCGUAGGCGGGCAGUUAAGUCGGCGGUAAAAUGUCGGGGCUCAACCCCGGCCUGCCGUUGGAACUGGGGGCCUUGAGUGGGCGAGAAGUAUGCGGAAUGCGUGGUGUAGCGGUGAAAUGCAUAGAUAUCACGCAGAACCCCGAUUGCGAAGGCAGCAUACCGGCGCCCUACUGACGCUGAGGCACGAAAGUGCGGGUAUCGAACAGGAUUAGAUACCCUAGUAGUC